Molecule: non-coding RNA, 31 nt
Filed under: Homo sapiens (human)
Lineage: Eukaryota; Metazoa; Chordata; Mammalia; Primates; Hominidae
Source: RNAcentral
UAGCCUGAUAGCAAGAGAGGAUCUGGAAGAC